RNAcentral lists this microRNA precursor (57 nucleotides) under Strongyloides ratti. Lineage: Eukaryota; Metazoa; Nematoda; Chromadorea; Rhabditida; Strongyloididae. The record is from RNAcentral.
CAAGGUAAUUUCAUAGUCAUGGUUUAUUGACAGGCGCAUGACUAGAACAUUACUUUG